RNAcentral lists this ribosomal RNA (16 nucleotides) under Gymnomyces sp. SOC 776. RNAcentral describes it as "partial 18S ribosomal RNA". The record is from RNAcentral. Lineage: Eukaryota; Fungi; Basidiomycota; Agaricomycetes; Russulales; Russulaceae.
UGCGGACUGAUCAUUA